CCAUCGGUUCUGGGGGCGGGGGGCGGGAUUGGGACCGGGGAAAAAUUAAACAGGACUGGGGGAAACCAGGAUCGGUACCGGGAGGUAUCAGGAUCGGUACCGGGGAGCAGGAGAUGGGUCCGGGGAAAAAAAGGAACAGGACUGGGGUGAUCAGAAUCGGUACCGGGGAGCACGAAAUGGGACCGGGGAAAGUGGAACAGGACCGGGGGUGAUCAGAAUCGGUACCGGGGAGCACGAAAUGGGACCGGGGAAAAAUGAAACAGGACCGGGGAGAGCAGGAUCGGUACCGGGGAGCACGAAAUGGGACCGGGGAAAAAUGAAACAGGACCGGGGAGAGCAGGAUCGGUACCGGGGAGCACGAAAUGGGACCGGGGAAAAAUGAAACAGGACCGGGGAGAGCAGGAUCGGUACCGGGGAGCACGAAAUGGGACCGGGGAAAAAUGAAACAGGACCGGGGAGAGCAGGAUCGGUACCGGGGAGCACGAAAUGGGACCGGGGAAAAAUGAAACAGGACCGGGGAGAGCAGGAUCGGUACCGGGGAGCACGAAAUGGGACCGGGGAAAAAUGAAACAGGACCGGGGAGAGCAGGAUCGGUACCGGGGAGCACGAAAUGGGACCGGGGAAAAAUGAAACAGGACCGGGGAGAGCAGGAUCGGUACCGGGGAGCACGAAAUGGGACCGGGGAAAAAUGAAACAGGACCGGGGAGAGCAGGAUCGGUACCGGGGAGCACGAAAUGGGACCGGGGAAAAAUGAAACAGGACCGGGGAGAGCAGGAUCGGUACCGGGGAGCACGAAAUGGGACCGGGGAAAAAUGAAACAGGACCGGGGAGAGCAGGAUCGGUACCGGGGAGCACGAAAUGGGACCGGGGAAAAAUGAAACAGGACUGGGGAGGAGCAGGAUCGGUACCGGGGAGGGUCAGGAUCGGGACCGGGGAGCACGGGAUGGGACCGGGGAGACUCAGUAGGAUCCAGAGGGAUAUGGGACGGUACCGGAGAGAGCAGGAUCGGUACCGGGGAGCACGAGAAGGGACCGGGGAAAAUGGAACAGGACCGGGGGGGAUCCGAAUCGGUACCGGGGAGAGCGAGAUGGGAUCGGGGAGCCUCAGCAGGAUCCGAGGGGGAUCAGGAUCGGUACCGAGGAGCAGAAGAUGGGACCGGGGAGGCGCAGCAGGAUCGGUACCGGGGGUAUGGAACGGUACCAGAGAGAGCAGGAUCGGUACCGGGGAUAUGGGGCGGUACCGGGGGAUACCAGACGGGACCCGGGGGUGCAGGACGGGACAGUCCCGGGCCCGGGGGCUGCAGGAGCGGGUCCGGGGGCUGCGGGCCAGGUCCCCGCAAAAGCCCGUCCCCGCCGCCCCCCCGGCGCUGGCCCCGCUCCCAGCCCUGCGCCCGGGGCUGCAGGGGCCGAGCUCCGCGCUUGAACCCGCCCCCGCCAGAUCUCAUUUCCCUAAAAAAAAAAAAAAAAACCCCCCCCCCCCCCCCCCCCCCCCCCCCCCCCCCCCCCCCCCCCCCCCCCCCCCCCCCCCCCCCC
This is a long non-coding RNA of Ficedula albicollis (Collared flycatcher), 1532 nucleotides long. NCBI's taxonomy places the organism in Eukaryota, Metazoa, Chordata, Aves, Passeriformes, Muscicapidae. The record is from Ensembl.